Oryza sativa Japonica Group (Japanese rice) is the source of this 3614-nucleotide non-coding RNA. The record is from RefSeq and is a predicted model, not a curated record. NCBI's taxonomy places the organism in Eukaryota, Viridiplantae, Streptophyta, Magnoliopsida, Poales, Poaceae.
UGGAGUAGUACUGUAGUACUACCUUCUCUCAGUCUUCUUCACUUGUUCUUUGGACUACAAUAUGGAGUACUACUCCAGCUCCAGUACUGGUUCCCCUUCCCAUCCUCCCACUCCCACCGAUGGAGGGUCGGACCGUCGGGAUCGCCAUCGCCACCGUCUUCCCCGCCGCUUCCUCACCACCCAACCUUUUCUGCUCGCGGCCAACGCGGCCCGCCGGCGUCGACGAGCCUUAGGAAGGGCAAAUGUAUAGCUCGAAGUGAUACUCAGGACGAUAACACUGACCCGAGCAAUAGCGAUAGCCAUGGCCUGAACGACCUGCCUGCCAAGCUGCCCUUGCAGGAUUUGGGACGUCAUCUUGCCGAACGAUGCGCGCAGCUGUUGGAUGAGGCUAUGAGAGAAAUCAAAAUUUUAACUCAGGAAACGCAAGAAGUCAUGCAGGCAUUGGCCUCGAAACACAGUGAGGAAUUCACCCUCGUUAUUUCAGAUGUAAUGGAAGCCAUCCAGGCAGAGCACGCUCAAGUGAAUGCUCGAUUACAUCGUGGAAUCGAAGAUGCGGAUGCUGCCGAUGUGCAGGCAGCAGCAAAGCGAAAAGCUGCAUGACUACACGAAGGUGCCAAGACUACUCGUAAACGAAGCAAGUUGUCACGCGUGGCUUCUGCAGCCAAUAGAUCCCAAGCCCCCGUUGAUUUGAGAGGUGACUUGUUAGGGCCAAGCAACUCGGAAAAUGAAGCAAGCGAGCAUAUAGACCAACAAAGCUAUCAAGCUGUUGACCAUGCAAAUCCGAUAUUGGGCAUGGCCCCUACUGCGCAUCACCGUCCAUUGAACUCAUCAGCCCAAGUGACGGCAGCAGUCCACCAUGAGCUGGAUCAAGGAUUCCAAAUGCAAGACAAAUGUGGCCUUGAAUGGUUGGUAUCAGCAGCAGCUGUGGGAGAAGCCACCAUGAGAGCCAGUGCCACAUUGGAUCAAAGCAACGAUGACAACCUCGCGGUUGUCACGUGCCAACGACAACCAGAACAUUGCGAGACACAGAUGACGAAAGAGGUGGCAUGUCCAAGGCCAGCUUGCAUGUCACCGUUUUCAAUGCCCAUACUUCACGAAUGGCCAAAUGCUAAAUUAGCUCGGAGGUUGUACCGUUGGCUGGAGUUGAAGUCACGUGAUGAAGAUAUAACCGGGGUUUGGUUCAAGCACGACAAGCCUACACCAAUUGAGAUAAGUGCCAUGAAGCUCAAAAUGCAGGUCACCCACGGUGGCAAUCUAUGUAUGGACCUUUGUUCGGCAUUUAUCAGACUCUACCAACAGUUAGAUGCCAAGAUGAAUACAAACCCAUCUGGACAGCGUUGGCGCCACUUCUUCCCACCCCAAUUUGCGCUUUGAUGAUUGAGCCAAACUUCAGUUCCAUGAAAGAAGUCAGUGACAUGUUUGAUCAACGUGUUAAUGGCUACAAAAUACAGAACUGUCAACUGCUCAUUGCCCCAGUUGAACUAGCUGGCGGUACAUGGUCAUGCUACAUUUGGGACAUGGAGAAGAGGCAAAUGCACAUUUUGGACCCUGUCUUGCAGCAGCGGGAGACUUACAAUGUGAGUGCUAAGCAGUAAGCACCAUCGAACAGCCACAAUGAUCCACGCAGGCCUGUUAACAUGUAUAAACAAAUUCUAUGGCGGCUGGGAUAUUAACCCAAACGAAUGGAUGUUUUCGUACUACACAGGGAUUAGCCCAAGGAGCCAAAGUAGGAACUCUGGUUUUUACACAUUAUACUACUCGCGUGAGUUCCAUGAUGGCAAGCUGCAGAGAAGUCUAGAUUCGGGUAGUAUUACUGCCUUGCGCAAGGAUCUUUUGUACCAGCUCCUGACUAUGGAAGGGAACUACGCCGAGCUGCCAAGUCACAUUGCGAGAUACUUGGAAUAGUUGUACCAAGUGUCAUGCUGGUCAUUUAACCUUUUGCUAGUAUGUUUAUGGUGCAAGUAUCUAACGAGAAUUUCCCAAGAAAUCUCCUUUAUCUAAAAAAAAACUAGGCGUCUAGAUAAGCCAGUGUUUUCUGUUGAUAAUAGUGUUGCACUGAAUAAAUGUAUAGCAGCUAAGUUGUUUUAGUGGUUAGUACCAUUUAGCAGAAACCUUUUUGUAUGGCUCCCAGCAUGUUACUCUUUGGAGGAGUAUCACUGAAAGAAUGGGUUUUCUGAGUACCUCUUUAAUUCAGUAGUUUUUUUUUUUUGCAAGGAAUUCAGUAGUUAAAUUUGACAGUAGAAUCAUCUGCUUCUCUCUCUCUCUCUCUCUCUUUCAUUUGCAGAGUAUCGACUCAUCCCUCACAAGUGAAAAAAGGGAACAGUAAUGAAAGCAAGCAUAAGAGCAACAUUUGUGCAAGACCUGCUGAUAUACUACUCUAUCAGGAGAUUAAUAAAUCAGGAUGAGCCUAAGAAAUGAAUAGAUUCAUGGGUAAACCCUAGGAUGAGCCUGGUGCAUAGUUGCAAAGGUAAGUGCCCUACCAAAGAAGCUGAAUGUAAUAUCCAUGGCAGAUAGGCAUGCUUCUGGGGCACCAAGAUGUCGUUUGCUCCAGUAAGGUGCAGCAGAGUUGAUAAGGCCAUGGGGCUUUUUAUGUUACUGUAACUGGUACGUAUCUUCAGUUACAUGACAGUUGACAUUUUAAGUUAGGGACAAUUGCUUCUUUGACCCUAUUCUGAACUAUAACUACUAAUUUGACCCUACUUUUUUAGGUUUGCUCAUUUGAUCCUACUUUUCAAAAUUGGAGUUGCCGUUUGGCCCUGGUUUCAUCACACCGUAGGGUUUCAUUUAAAAAAUAGAAAAAAAAUGUUUUUUUAUGCCACAAUGGACCAAAAUACCCUUGUACACAUCAAUAUUCUCUUAUCCUCUCCCUCUCAUCUCUCUCACCGGAGCUUGUCUCCCUCUCCUCUUUCUCGCCGGAAAUGGGAGGGAUGGCGGCGGCGGCUCGACAAGGCGGAGGACGGCGGCGGCGGCGGCAUGGGAGGGAUGGCGGUGGCUCGAUGAAGAGGAGGGUCGGGCGGCGGUGGUUCGGCGAGGCGGAGGAGCGGCGGCUCGACGACGAGGAGGGGCGACGGUCGAGGCAACUAGGCGACGGAUCCGGCGGAUGUGGUGUUCUGCGGGGAGGUAGGGAGCGCCGGCAGCGGCGACGCACGGAGGAAGGGAGCGCCGGCGCACGGAGCUGCGGAGCCGGUGGGCGGAGGGAGGAGUGGUGGCCGCCGCCGCCCCUCGGCAACUACCUCCGCCGUCGCCGCCGCCGGUGGUUUUCAUCGUGCCGAGCCGACGCUGCCCCUCCGCAGCCACCGCCGCCGGUGAACUUCCUCGUCACCAAGCCGCAGCCGCCCCCACCGCUCAUCUGCCGCCAGCGGCGGCCCUCCUCGUCGCCGAGCCGACGUUGCCCCUCCGCCGCCGCUCCUCCCGCCGCCCCCUGUUGCCGCUCCUCGGUGGCGCAGUGACCUGCUGCUUGCCAUUUUUUUUCUUUUUUUUUGUUUUUCUGGUAGACAUAAAUUUGCACCAUGUAUUUGUGUUUGAGACAAUAUACACUGAUAAGUGUAAUAAAAAACUUUGAUAAACUGGGUUAAAUUCAUAAGGGUAUAAAUGGAACUUUUGUGUUGAGUUAA